AUGAACGCUGGCGGCGUGCCUAAUACAUGCAAGUCGAGCGAACGGACGAGAAGCUUGCUUCUCUGAUGUUAGCGGCGGACGGGUGAGUAACACGUGGAUAACCUACCUAUAAGACUGGGAUAACUUCGGGAAACCAGAGCUAAUACCGGAUAAUAUUUUGAACCGCAUGGUUCAAAAGUGAAAGACGGUCUUGCUGUCACUUAUAGAUGGAUCCGCGCUGCAUUAGCUAGUUGGUAAGGUAACGGCUUACCAAGGCAACGAUGCAUAGCCGACCUGAGAGGGUGAUCGGCCACACUGGAACUGAGACACGGUCCAGACUCCUACGGGAGGCAGCAGUAGGGAAUCUUCCGCAAUGGGCGAAAGCCUGACGGAGCAACGCCGCGUGAGUGAUGAAGGUCUUCGGAUCGUAAAACUCUGUUAUUAGGGAAGAACAUAUGUGUAAGUAACUGUGCACAUCUUGACGGUACCUAAUCAGAAAGCCACGGCUAACUACGUG
This 496-nucleotide ribosomal RNA is filed under the name uncultured bacterium. RNAcentral's name for it is "partial 16S ribosomal RNA". It matches the Rfam family "Bacterial small subunit ribosomal RNA", at positions 29 to 507 of the family's 1533-position model. The record is from RNAcentral.